UACGUAGGGUGCGAGCGUUAAUCGGAAUUACUGGGCGUAAAGCGAGCGCAGACGGUUACUUAAGCAGGAUGUGAAAUCCCCGGGCUUAACCUGGGAACUGCGUUCUGAACUGGGUGACUAGAGUGUGUCAGAGGGAGGUAGAAUUCCACGUGUAGCAGUGAAAUGCGUAGAGAUGUGGAGGAAUACCGAUGGCGAAGGCAGCCUCCUGGGAUGACACUGACGUUCAUGCUCGAAAGCGUGGGUAGCAAACAGG
Molecule: ribosomal RNA, 253 nt
Filed under: uncultured bacterium
Lineage: Bacteria
Description: partial 16S ribosomal RNA
Rfam family: Bacterial small subunit ribosomal RNA
Source: RNAcentral